UGGACUUGGUAAUGUGCAAAAGUUGCC
RNAcentral lists this non-coding RNA (27 nucleotides) under Mus musculus (house mouse). Lineage: Eukaryota; Metazoa; Chordata; Mammalia; Rodentia; Muridae. The record is from RNAcentral.